Molecule: long non-coding RNA, 376 nt
Organism: Saccoglossus kowalevskii
Lineage: Eukaryota; Metazoa; Hemichordata; Enteropneusta; Harrimaniidae
Source: RefSeq, a predicted model, not a curated record
CUGACUGGAAUUGAACAGAAUAAGACAUGGCUAAAUCCAAGUAAGACAUUAUGUUUUUAUUUCUUAUUCCCUAGAUGUGUCCAUGGCAACUGACUGGAAUUGAACAGAAUAAGACAUGGCUAAAUCCAAGUAAGACAUUAUGUUUUUAUUUCUGAUUCCCUAGAUGUGUCCAUGGCAACUGACUGUAAUUGAACAGAAUAAGACAUGGCUAAAUCCAAGUAAGACAUUAUGUUUUUAUUUCUGAUUCCCUAGAUGUGUCCAUGGCAACUGACUGGAAUUGAACAGAAUAAGACAUGGCUAAAUCCAAAUGUGUCCAUGGCAACUGACUGGAAUUGAACAGAAUAAGACAUGGCUAAAUCCAAAUGUGUCCAUGGCA